GGGCAUGUGGUGUAAUGGAAACACUAAGGGUCUCACUAUCACAGCCCUUAAUGUUGGUUCAAAUCCAACCGUGCCCA
Xylariomycetidae sp. FL2044 is the source of this 77-nucleotide non-coding RNA. The record is from the annotation of a GenBank genome assembly. Lineage: Eukaryota; Fungi; Ascomycota; Sordariomycetes.